This 261-nucleotide ribosomal RNA is filed under the name uncultured bacterium. RNAcentral describes it as "partial 16S ribosomal RNA". It matches the Rfam family "Bacterial small subunit ribosomal RNA", at positions 334 to 612 of the family's 1533-position model. The record is from RNAcentral.
AGUUCCUACGGGGGGCAGCAGUGGGGAAUAUUGCACAAUGGGGGAAACCCUGAUGCAGCGACGCCGCGUGAGUGAAGAAGUAUUUCGGUAUGUAAAGCUCUAUCAGCAGGGAAGAAAAUGACGGUACCUGACUAAGAAGCCCCGGCUAACUACGUGCCAGCAGCCGCGGUAAUACGUAGGGGGCAAGCGUUAUCCGGAUUUACUGGGUGUAAAGGGAGCAUAGACGGUAGAACAAGUCUGAAGUGAAAGCCCGCGGCUCAA